GACGAACGCUGGCGGCGUGCUUAACACAUGCAAGUCGAACGGAAAGGCCCUGCUUUUGUGGGGUGCUCGAGUGGCGAACGGGUGAGUAACAAGUGAGUAACCUGCCCUUGACUUUGGGAUAACUUCAGGAAACUGGGGCUAAUACCGGAUAGGAGCUCCUGCUGCAUGGUGGGGGUUGGAAAGUUUCGGCGGUUGGGGAUGGACUCGCGGCUUAUCAGCUUGUUGGUGGGGUAGUGGCUUACCAAGGCUUUGACGGGUAGCCGGCCUGAGAGGGUGACCGGCCACAUUGGGACUGAGAUACGGCCCAGACUCCUACGGGAGGCAGCAGUGGGGAAUAUUGCACAAUGGGCGGAAGCCUGAUGCAGCAACGCCGCGUGCGGGAUGACGUCCUUCGGGUUGUAAACCGCUUUCGCCUGUGACGAAGCGUGAGUGACGGUAAUGGGUAAAGAAGCACCGGCUAACUACGUG
This 468-nucleotide ribosomal RNA is filed under the name uncultured bacterium. Its description in RNAcentral is "partial 16S ribosomal RNA". It matches the Rfam family "Bacterial small subunit ribosomal RNA", at positions 28 to 507 of the family's 1533-position model. The record is from RNAcentral.